Molecule: unclassified non-coding RNA, 389 nt
Filed under: uncultured fungus
Lineage: Eukaryota; Fungi
Description: partial contains small subunit ribosomal RNA, internal transcribed spacer 1, and 5.8S ribosomal RNA
Rfam family: Eukaryotic small subunit ribosomal RNA (bases 1-73)
Source: RNAcentral
UCAAACUUGGUCAUUUAGAGGAAGUAAAAGUCGUAACAAGGUUUCCGUAGGUGAACCUGCGGAAGGAUCAUUACUGAGUGAUUGGGUCCAUCCCCUGCGUGCGAGAGUGCGUUAGGGGGGGUGACCGGUUACCCGACCUUUUGUCAUUUGGGCUGGCGCCUGACCUCCUCCCCCUAAAAAGGGGGGCAGAGACGGCCUAGCAUUUUCAGGUUCGGCGGAGGUGGUGGGCGCCCCCCCCCCUAGUGGAGGGGCGACCUGCCCGCCGCCGGUGGCAUUUCCCAACUCUUUGUUCGUCAAGAUGAAGUCUGAAGAUGUCGGAAAAGCAAAACAAAAAAAGCAAAACUUUCAACAACGGAUCUCUUGGCUCUGGCAUCGAUGAAGAACGCAGC